GGGCGGUUAGCUCAGUUGGUUAGAGCGCAUGCUUGACAUGCAUGAGGUCACAGGUUCGAAUCCUGUAUCGCCCACCA
Molecule: transfer RNA, 77 nt
Filed under: Bacillota bacterium
Lineage: Bacteria; Bacillati; Bacillota
Also listed under: 1 other name
Description: tRNA-Val
Rfam family: tRNA
About the family: Transfer RNA (tRNA) molecules are approximately 80 nucleotides in length. Their secondary structure includes four short double-helical elements and three loops (D, anti-codon, and T loops).
Source: RNAcentral